RNAcentral lists this transfer RNA (73 nucleotides) under Plotosus lineatus (striped eel catfish). RNAcentral describes it as "tRNA-Lys". It matches the Rfam family "tRNA". From Rfam's summary of the family: Transfer RNA (tRNA) molecules are approximately 80 nucleotides in length. Their secondary structure includes four short double-helical elements and three loops (D, anti-codon, and T loops). Further hydrogen bonds mediate the characteristic L-shaped molecular structure. tRNAs have two regions of fundamental functional importance: the anti-codon, which is responsible for specific mRNA codon recognition, and the 3' end, to which the tRNAs corresponding amino acid is attached (by aminoacyl-tRNA synthetases). tRNAs cope with the degeneracy of the genetic code in two manners: having more than one tRNA (with a specific anti-codon) for a particular amino acid; and 'wobble' base-pairing, i.e. permitting non-standard base-pairing at the 3rd anti-codon position. Lineage: Eukaryota; Metazoa; Chordata; Actinopteri; Siluriformes; Plotosidae. The record is from RNAcentral.
CAUUAGAAAGCUAAUAGGGAUUAGCGUUAGCCUUUUAAGCUAAAGAUUGGUGCCCCCCAACCACCUCUAAUGA